GUUAGCAUUGCUUAUCAACUUCUGAUUCUGAUCAUCUUGCAUCUGUUGCAUUCUCCUGUUUAUUCCUAUGUCAACAACUUUCCCUGUUUAUUCCAAUGUUAACAACCUUCCCUGUUAACAACACUUCUGUUUAUCUGUUAACAACUAUAGCUGUUUAUUUCUGUUAACAACUCUCCCUGUUUAUUCCUGUGUUAGCAACUGUCCCUGUAUAUUCCUAUGCUAACAGCUUGUCAGUGGUUAUUCCUGUUUGUUUACAGUUUUCCCAUGUUUAUUCCUGUAAGCUGUCUUCCCAUGUUUGUUCCCAGCAAUUCCAAUCUAAAAUAUGGGUAUUACACAGUAUAGAGAUUAUUUCUUCUAGUUUGUUGAACUCCUAUAUCUGUUAUUGUCUGACUGGUGUAUAUGUGAGCAAGCAUUGUUUUUUCCUAAUCUUGUGUGAUAGGAACAUUUAUGAACACUAAUAGCUGUGUUUGCCUUGUAUUAGUGGUGUGUUAAAGAACCAAAGUAAUGUAGAUUUGUUUCGGAGUUUUCAGAUAUGUUUGGAUCAGGAUCUGUAUUUAUAAUAUAAGAAUAACGUUUUCUGAUUAUAUAAAGUUGCGUUAGUGUAGCAGGGCGUGGAGUCAUCCCACAGAUGACAUCCUUACCUUGUCUGCUUGCUGACGGGGUUAACCUUUUUGGUCAUGUGGAGAAGGCGUACGACUUCGGAUCAGAAGGUUCGUGGUUCGAAUACCAGCACGGGACUUGGAAAGUUUAUGGCCGCUACAUUAGAACCAACCUUUUCAGCCUAUUUGCCAAGCUUUUGUUUGCAAUGCUUAGUUCUUCCAGUUAUUUACACAUUAACAAUGCAUUAUCUGUGAUGGUAAAACUUUAAUUUGUGUUUGCCGAGACUGCAGAUUGUCUGUUUAUGACUGAUAUGGAAGGAUAACAAUAUAACUCUCUUUAUUACAAUGAGAGCGACAUUUCAGUGUAGGUUCUAACACCAUUAUCAAGCAAGUGGUAUGUUAGAACAGCUGUUGUGGCAUGGUCAUUUCUAUAGUAAAAAGAGUCUACUUGUCUACUUACAAGUUAUAUGAUGAAAUGUUAAAUGUUUCACUAUAACAGUGGUCUGAUUUGUUUUCGGUCUUAAAUUUGAAAAAGUGACAGACUUAAGGAUGUUUGAUUGUAUAAGAAGAGAUGAGUGUAUGAAAGGCACAAAGUGGAAUUCGGAGUGUGAAGAUAGGUAGUGAGUCUGUUAAUCUCAGUGUGUGAAACAAGCUCAGUUUAAACUGGAUAAUAAACUGUUAUUUACAUAUGUGGAUGGUGUACAGCUUUCCAGAAGAUAAUUAUUGUAAUUAGUUAAGUGAUUCCGAUGUACAUAUACAUGUGUGUAGUAUAAACGAAAAAUGAAGUUGAUGAAAUGUUGAUUGGUUCUGGAUGGGUUUGUGAAUAUGAGGUAUUUCUGUUAUAGGAUAUUAUUCAUAUGGAACUUAUAGUUCUAUCCAAAGCAAGUUUAUGCAAGCAUAUCUAAAAGAUACACAUAUCUUUUGAAAAUAUUGAAUUACAAGAUUUCAAGUGGAAUUGUUAUAUUACAUUUCCAUGACUACAGUGCUGAUUGAGUGUAAAGUUGUAAUAUACUGAUGGAGAAAACUAAGGCAACAUGUCAGUGAAGUAUUGACAUGCUACUCAGUAUAUACUUGAAGACGAAAGUUACCCACAAAUUCAGUUUCACUACAGGUAUUAUCUUGUAUGUUUUGUUGACAUGAAGGAUUUGAUAUUGACCAUAGCAGUCAACUGUCUUUGUCUCUAUGGGUAUUUGUUCCCGUUUUAUCGCACCAGAAAAUGAGGUCAGGUAAGGCAAACGGUAGACAGGAGGUCAAGUCACAUCAGGUGAACUCUAUGAGGUCAUGUCCGGCAAACGGUAGACAGGAGGUCAUACACGCUAAAAUCUACACAGGAGGUCAAGUCAUGUAUUGUGAACCCAACACAGGUUCUGCCAUGUGAAUCCUCAACAGUAAGUCAUAUGAGGUGACCCCCCACAGGAGGUCAUGUCAUAUCUGAUAGAAACUCCACAGGAAGUUAUGAAAGCUCAACAGGAGAUCAUAUGUGGGGGUAAUUCUACACAUGUUAUGCAAAUCCCACAUAAUCAUGUCCGACAAAUCCUCCACAGGAAGUUACAUCAGGUGAAUCUUCCACUGGAGAUCGCAUCAGGUGAACCCUCCACACUUCGGACAAACCCUUCAUGAGCAAACUUUCACUGCCCUAUUGAAAUAAUAUCAUUGGUUUUUGUAGUCAAUCAAAUAUCAACUCUGACAAUUUGGCCUCACAUAGUUGUGAUUUGUUAUGCUUGUAUCCAUGGUAAGGGCUCUUCUGUUACAUGCUCUAGCCCAUGUUAACAAUUGCUAAAUGCUUGGUUUUGCUUUGCUGAACAGGUUUUAUAUAGAGUCUUAUUCCAUACGCAGGAGUGAUAUUAAAUAUUUUUCGUUAUAAUGAA
Molecule: long non-coding RNA, 2467 nt
Filed under: Haliotis rubra (blacklip abalone)
Lineage: Eukaryota; Metazoa; Mollusca; Gastropoda; Lepetellida; Haliotidae
Description: uncharacterized LOC124254863
Source: RNAcentral